Molecule: non-coding RNA, 311 nt
Organism: Hydra vulgaris (swiftwater hydra)
Lineage: Eukaryota; Metazoa; Cnidaria; Hydrozoa; Anthoathecata; Hydridae
Source: RefSeq, a predicted model, not a curated record
GACAAAUAAAACAAGAAUGAGUUUGGCUUGAUGGAACUAAAGAUAAUAGCUUCUUUAAGCAGCAACCAUGAUAGUAUUCGUAGACAAGAAAAAGAGGUGCAUUCUUUAUGACAAUCGGAGUGUGGCUCAAAUUUGGCAGAUAGAGCAGAAAGUUACAGAAUUACAUUAAUUACAUCAAAAGUUACAGAGUUACAUCAAUUGUUUAAAUCCAAUUCAUGUAUGGUCAUGCACGGAAGUCAAGCAUGGAAAUUGGAAAUAUGUCAAUUUCCUGUAGUUAUUUUUAUAAAAAUGAAUUUUGUGUAAAAAUCAUA